AGAGUUUGAUCAUGGCUCAGAUUGAACGCUGGCGGCAGGCCUAACACAUGCAAGUCGAACGGUAACAGGAAGCAGCUUGCUGCUUUGCUGACGAGUGGCGGACGGGUGAGUAAUGUCUGGGAAACUGCCUGAUGGAGGGGGAUAACUACUGGAAACGGUGGCUAAUACCGCAUAACGUCGCAAGACCAAAGAGGGGGACCUUCGGGCCUCUUGCCAUCAGAUGUGCCCAGAUGGGAUUAGCUUGUUGGUGAGGUAACGGCUCACCAAGGCGACGAUCCCUAGCUGGUCUGAGAGGAUGACCAGCCACACUGGAACUGAGACACGGUCCAGACUCCUACGGGAGGCAGCAGUGGGGAAUAUUGCACAAUGGGCGCAAGCCUGAUGCAGCCAUGCCGCGUGUAUGAAGAAGGCCUUCGGGUUGUAAAGUACUUUCAGCGGGGAGGAAGGUGUUGUGGUUAAUAACCACAGCAAUUGACGUUACCCGCAGAAGAAGCACCGGCUAACUCCGUGCCAGCAGCCGCGGUAAUACGGAGGGUGCAAGCGUUAAUCGGAAUUACUGGGCGUAAAGCGCACGCAGGCGGUCUGUCAAGUCGGAUGUGAAAUCCCCGGGCUCAACCUGGGAACUGCAUUCGAAACUGGCAGGCUUGAGUCUUGUAGAGGGGGGUAGAAUUCCAGGUGUAGCGGUGAAAUGCGUAGAGAUCUGGAGGAAUACCGGUGGCGAAGGCGGCCCCCUGGACAAAGACUGACGCUCAGGUGCGAAAGCGUGGGGAGCAAACAGGAUUAGAUACCCUGGUAGUCCACGCCGUAAACGAUGUCUACUUGGAGGUUGUGCCCUUGAGGCGUGGCUUCCGGAGCUAACGCGUUAAGUAGACCGCCUGGGGAGUACGGCCGCAAGGUUAAAACUCAAAUGAAUUGACGGGGGCCCGCACAAGCGGUGGAGCAUGUGGUUUAAUUCGAUGCAACGCGAAGAACCUUACCUGGUCUUGACAUCCACGGAAGAAUCCAGAGAUGGAUUUGUGCCUUCGGGAACCGUGAGACAGGUGCUGCAUGGCUGUCGUCAGCUCGUGUUGUGAAAUGUUGGGUUAAGUCCCGCAACGAGCGCAACCCUUAUCCUUUGUUGCCAGCGAUUAGGUCGGGAACUCAAAGGAGACUGCCAGUGAUAAACUGGAGGAAGGUGGGGAUGACGUCAAGUCAUCAUGGCCCUUACGACCAGGGCUACACACGUGCUACAAUGGCGCAUACAAAGAGAAGCGACCUCGCGAGAGCAAGCGGACCUCAUAAAGUGCGUCGUAGUCCGGAUUGGAGUCUGCAACUCGACUCCAUGAAGUCGGAAUCGCUAGUAAUCGUGGAUCAGAAUGCCACGGUGAAUACGUUCCCGGGCCUUGUACACACCGCCCGUCACACCAUGGGAGUGGGUUGCAAAAGAAGUAGGUAGCUUAACCUUCGGGAGGGCGCUUACCACUUUGUGAUUCAUGACUGGGGUGAAGUCGUAACAAGGUAACCGUAGGGGAACCUGCGGUUG
Molecule: ribosomal RNA, 1522 nt
Filed under: Salmonella enterica subsp. enterica serovar Senftenberg
Lineage: Bacteria; Pseudomonadati; Pseudomonadota; Gammaproteobacteria; Enterobacterales; Enterobacteriaceae
Also listed under: 2 other names
Description: bacterial SSU rRNA
Rfam family: Bacterial small subunit ribosomal RNA
Source: RNAcentral